RNAcentral lists this ribosomal RNA (253 nucleotides) under uncultured bacterium. RNAcentral's name for it is "partial 16S ribosomal RNA". It matches the Rfam family "Bacterial small subunit ribosomal RNA", at positions 524 to 776 of the family's 1533-position model. The record is from RNAcentral.
UACGUAGGGACCAAGCGUUGUUCGGAUUUACUGGGCGUAAAGGGCGCGUAGGCGGCGUGACAAGUCACUUGUGAAAUCUCAGAGCUCAACUCUGAAAUGGCACUUGAUACUGCUCUGCUAGAGGACUGGAGAGGAGAUUGGAAUUCACGGUGUAGCAGUGAAAUGCGUAGAUAUCGUGAGGAAGACCGGUGGCGAAGGCGGAUCUCUGGACAGUUCCUGACGCUGAGGCGCGAAGGCCAGGGGAGCAAACGGG